Molecule: ribosomal RNA, 372 nt
Filed under: uncultured organism
Description: bacterial SSU rRNA
Rfam family: Bacterial small subunit ribosomal RNA
Source: RNAcentral
CGUAGGGUCCGAGCGUUGUCCGGAAUUAUUGGGCGUAAAGGGCUCGUAGGCGGUUUGUCACGUCGGGCGUGAAAACUCAGGGCUCAACCCUGAGCGUGCGUCCGAUACGGGCAGACUAGAGGUACGCAGGGGAGAACGGAAUUCCUGGUGUAGCGGUGGAAUGCGCAGAUAUCAGGAGGAACACCGGUGGCGAAGGCGGUUCUCUGGGCAUUACCUGACGCUGAGGAGCGAAAGCAUGGGGAGCGAACAGGAUUAGAUACCCUGGUAGUCCAUGCCGUAAACGUUGGGCGCUAGGUGUGGGGACCUUCCACGGUCUCCGUGCCGCAGCUAACGCAUUAAGCGCCCCGCCUGGGGAGUACGGCCGCAAGGCUA